CAAUACGAGGCCGUGCGACUCCACGAUAUUCGCAGGGCAAGCGUAAAAUAAAGGAGGCAUACGCAGGACCCGCCGGGCUUGCGGUGCGGCAGCGUGGAGACCUGUCGCAAAGCCAUCGCCGCCAAGCGGGCGCUGGCGAGCUGUGCAGCGAGCGAAGGCUGUGCAUGGCAGAGCCGAACAUAUGGCA
RNAcentral lists this non-coding RNA (187 nucleotides) under unclassified sequences. Its description in RNAcentral is "malK-I RNA". It matches the Rfam family "malK-I RNA". The record is from RNAcentral.